RNAcentral lists this ribosomal RNA (435 nucleotides) under uncultured prokaryote. RNAcentral describes it as "bacterial SSU rRNA". It matches the Rfam family "Bacterial small subunit ribosomal RNA", at positions 342 to 774 of the family's 1533-position model. The record is from RNAcentral.
CGGGGGGCUGCCGUGAGGAAUAUUGGUCAAUGGGCGAGAGCCUGAACCAGCCAAGUCGCGUGAAGGAAGACGGCCCUACGGGUUGUAAACUUCUUUUGUAGGGGGAUAAAAAAAGCCACGUGUGGUUUCUUGUAGGUACCCUACGAAUAAGGAUCGGCUAACUCCGUGCCAGCAGCCGCGGUAAUACGGAGGAUCCAAGCGUUAUCCGGAUUUAUUGGGUUUAAAGGGUGCGUAGGCGGAUUAUUAAGUCAGUGGUGAAAGGUUGACGCUUAACGUUAACAUUGCCAUUGAAACUGGUAGUCUUGAGUGCAAAUGAGGCAGGCGGAAUGUGUUGUGUAGCGGUGAAAUGCAUAGAUAUGACACAGAACACCGAUUGCGAAGGCAGCUUGCUGGAAUGUAACUGACGCUGAGGCACGAAAGCGUGGGGAUCAAACA